RNAcentral lists this ribosomal RNA (489 nucleotides) under uncultured bacterium. Its description in RNAcentral is "bacterial SSU rRNA". It matches the Rfam family "Bacterial small subunit ribosomal RNA", at positions 29 to 507 of the family's 1533-position model. The record is from RNAcentral.
AUGAACGCUAGCUACAGGCUUAACACAUGACAGUCGAGGGGCAGCAUGGUCUUAGCUUGCUAAGGCCGAUGGCGACCGGCGCACGGGUGAGUAACACGUAUCCAACCUGCCGUCUACUCUUGGACAGCCUUCUGAAAGGAAGAUUAAUACAAGAUGGCAUCAUGAGUCCGCAUGUUCACAUGAUUAAAGGUAUUCCGGUAGACGAUGGGGAUGCGUUCCAUUAGAUAGUAGGCGGGGUAACGGCCCACCUAGUCUUCGAUGGAUAGGGGUUCUGAGAGGAAGGUCCCCCACAUUGGAACUGAGACACGGUCCAAACUCCUACGGGAGGCAGCAGUGAGGAAUAUUGGUCAAUGGGCGAGAGCCUGAACCAGCCAAGUAGCGUGAAGGAUGACUGCCCUAUGGGUUGUAAACUUCUUUUAUAAAGGAAUAAAGUCGGGUAUGGAUACCCGUUUGCAUGUACUUUAUGAAUAAGGAUCGGCUAACUCCGUG